UACGGAGGGUGUAAGCGUUAAUCGGAAUCACUGGGCGUAAAGCGCACGUAGGCGGCUUGGUAAGUCAGGGGUGAAAUCCCACAGCCCAACUGUGGAACUGCCUUUGAUACUGCCAGGCUUGAGUACCGGAGAGGGUGGCGGAAUUCCAGGUGUAGGAGUGAAAUCCGUAGAUAUCUGGAGGAACACCGGUGGCGAAGGCGGCCACCUGGACGGUAACUGACGCUGAGGUGCGAAAGCGUGGGUAGCAAACAGG
RNAcentral lists this ribosomal RNA (253 nucleotides) under Bilophila wadsworthia. RNAcentral describes it as "partial 16S ribosomal RNA". It matches the Rfam family "Bacterial small subunit ribosomal RNA", at positions 524 to 776 of the family's 1533-position model. Lineage: Bacteria; Pseudomonadati; Thermodesulfobacteriota; Desulfovibrionia; Desulfovibrionales; Desulfovibrionaceae. The record is from RNAcentral.